Molecule: non-coding RNA, 1510 nt
Filed under: Cicer arietinum (chickpea)
Lineage: Eukaryota; Viridiplantae; Streptophyta; Magnoliopsida; Fabales; Fabaceae
Description: Eukaryotic large subunit ribosomal RNA
Rfam family: Eukaryotic large subunit ribosomal RNA
Source: Rfam by way of RNAcentral
GAUGGAACAAUGUAGGCAAGGGAAGUCGGCAAAAUGGAUCCGUAACCUCGUGAAAAGGAUUAGCUCUAAGGGCUGAGCACGAGGUUCCCAGUUCUGAACCUAUCGGCUGUUGGUGGACUGCUUGAGCUGCUCCCACGGCGAGAGCGGGUCACCGCAUGCCGAUCAUGGGACAGAUUGGGAAGGGGCCCUUCGGAGCCUCUUCCCCGGGCAUCGAACAAUCAACUCAGAACUGGUACGGACAAGGGGUAUCUGACUGUUUAAUUAAAAUAAAGCAUUGUGAUGGUCCCUACGGAUGUUGACGCAAUGUGAUUUCUGCCCGAUGCUCUGAAUGUCAAAGUGAAGAAAUUCAACCAAGCGCGGGUAAACGAUGGGAGUAACUAUGACUCUCUUAAGGUAGCCAAAUGCCUCGUCAUCUAAUUAGUGACGCGCAUGAAUGGACUAAUGAGAUUCCCAAUGUCCCUGUCUACUAUCUAGCGAAACCACAACCAAGGGAAUGGGCUUAGCGGAAUCAGCCGGGAAAGAAGACCAUGUUGAGCUUGACUCUAGUCCGACUUUGUGAAAUGACUUGAGAGGUGUAGGAUAAGUGGGAGCUGGAAAUAGCGAAAGUGAAAUACCACUACUUUUAACGUUAUUUUACUUAUUCCGUGAAUCGGAGGCGGGGCGCUGCCCUUCUUUUUGGAUCCAAGGCUGACUUCGGUUGGCCAAUCCGGGCGGAAGACAUUGUUAGGUGGGGAGUUUGGUUGGGGCAGCACAUCUGUUAAAAGAUAAAGCAGGUGUCUGAAGAUGAGCUCAACGAGAACAGAAAUUUCGUGUGGAACAAAAGGGUAAAAGCUCGUUUGAUUUUGAUUUCUAGUACGAAUACGAAUCGUGAAAGCGUGGCCUAUCGAUCCUUUAGUCCUUCGGAAUUUGAAGCUAGAGGUGUCAGAAAAGUUACCACAAGGAUAACUGGCUUGUGGCAGCCAAGCGUUCAUAGCGACGUUGCUUUUUUAUCCUUCGAUGUCGGCUCUUCCUAUCAUUGUGAAGCAGAAUUCACAAAGUUUUGGAUUGUUCACCCAUCAAUAGGGAACCUGAGUUGGGUUUAGACUGUCGUGACAUAGGUUAGUUUUACCCUACUGAUGAGAGUGUCACAAUAGUAAUUCAACCUAGUAUGAGAGGAACCGUUGAUUCGCACAAUUGGUCAUUGUGGUUGGUUGAAAAGCCAGUGGCGCAAAACUAUCGUGCGUUGGAUUAUGAUUGAACGCCUCUAAGUCAGAAUUCGGGCUAGAAGCGAUGCGUGUUCCCGUCGUUCGCUUGCCGACCAGCAAUAGGGGGCCUCGGCCCCCCAGAGGCACGUGUCGUUGGUGGACCUCGUAAGGCGGAUGAGCCUUACGGGAUACCUUGAAACGCAAUUCCUCUUGAGUGGCUGGUAGAAUCUUUUGCAGUCGACUUAAAUAAGCGACAAGUUAUUGUAAGUGGUAGAGGGGCCUUGCUGCCACGAUCCACUAAGAUUCAGCCCUAGUCGCUUCGAUUC